RNAcentral lists this ribosomal RNA (360 nucleotides) under uncultured bacterium. RNAcentral's name for it is "bacterial SSU rRNA". It matches the Rfam family "Bacterial small subunit ribosomal RNA", at positions 88 to 434 of the family's 1533-position model. The record is from RNAcentral.
GAGUAAAGCGGCGGACGGGUGCGUAACACGUGGAUAAUCUGCCCUUCGGUGGGGAAUAACGUUCCGAAAGGAACGCUAAUGCCGCAUGUCACAACAAUGUCUCUGGACAAAGUUGGAAAAGGGGACGCCCGCAAGGGGUUCUCGCCGGAGGAUGAGUCCGCGGCCCAUCAGCUUGUUGGCGGGGUAAGGGCCCACCAAGGCGAAACGGGUAGCUGGUCUGAAAGGAUGACCACCCACACUGGGACUGAAACACGGCCCAAACUCCUCCGGGAGGCAGCAGUGGGAAAUAUUGCACAAUGGGCUAAAGCCUGCUCCACCCCUGCCCCGUGGGUGAUGAAUGUUUUCUUAUCCUAACGCCCU